GCCGCGUCCCCCGGGGCGGGGGGGGGCACUUCGGGCGGCUUCUGUCAAGCGCUGCCGGAGAGCAGGCUCCCCGCUGCCCCCGGGGCACGGACACGGCCGGCCGCGAAACGGGGGGAGCCCGGGAGGCCCACGCAGGCCGGAGCGCCGGGAAGCCGGUCGUUGAACGAGCAGACCCCCCCAGGCUGGCUGUGGCCGUCAGCUGCUCGCUGAAUCCUGUACGAAAAAGUGCGUUAAAUGGUCUCAGGUGGUGGAGACGGCAUCUCUCGGGCCUGAGGGCAGCGUGUCUGGUUCCUGCACGGAGGGUGGUACACCCAAACUACACAGGGGACAAAGCUGCUGCUCCUUCACCUCUGGGAAUCCUUGGCACAGAGAGCUCCAGGUGUGAAAUACUGAUACUAGUUCAAAAAAAAAAAAACCCUCCACGACCCCGCUUGGGUAGCUGAAUGUCAGCGGUGGGCUGCUGCCUGUUCACGCGUGGGGCCCGUCCACCCCGCUGCAGCUCGUCACGGAGGGGAGCAGAGGGAAAGGUGACCCUGGUGCUGGCAGGGUGCCCUCGGUCAGCAGGGACGGGCUGCAGGAGGCGAUGGGACCGUGGAGAAAUGGACGGGAAGGAUUUUGUUUCCCCACAGAUUAUUUCACUGCUCGCAGCCAAGCAACAUUUUAUAAGCAGGCUAACGUCCCUCACUGACGCUUUCUCACCUGAGAUCACUUUAAUGACCAGUCAGCUUCGUAAGGUCCUGUGUCCAGAUUCUUCUCCUACCCCUCUGUUACUGCUGGAAUCAGGUAAAGUUAAGGCAAUUUUACCCUCGUGACAUUAUUUAGGAAAACAAGUAUUAUUGCAGCUCUGGUUGCGAUGCUAAUGUUCUGAGCACCAGAGCACUGCAUGCAACACAGCAGCUGUUAUAUAUUCAAGGGUGAAAUUUCAGUAAUGGUAUGCUAUAUAAUCUCUAGAUAAAUAUUUAUGCUUGUGAAGGUUAAGUGACUUGGAAUACUAUGAAGGCCAGCCUUUUGGGCAGGCCACUGCAAUUUAAGCCUUCUUGCAGUGACCUACCACUGACCUCUCCCGAUCUAGAAGCAGAGUGAUUGCUGGAGGUAAAAAUUCAGAGUGGAUCCUGAGGCCUCUGCUGAGCAGUAACAGGAGCAUGAAGGAGAUGGACCACAGCACUGGAAGCAGAGAGCCUAAUUGCAACAUGAGCAAAAGAAAACAAACUUAGCCCCUCCAAAACCAAAAUUAUUCCUAAAGCAAUAAACUGUUAAAGGAAAUACUGCAAAUACGACCAAUCAAAGGGCAAAAACCUAACACAGAAAGUGAAAUAAACUGAUGAGGUAAAGAAGAAACUCACUACGAUUUCCUCCAGGUUUGCAAUGUUUAAAACAAAUGAGCUGACAAGAUCCGGGACAACAAAAUACACUGCUAUCAUCACGCAUGCUGAGUGGAAGGCGCUUAACACAAGAUUACAACCAAAACUAAUUGUACUGUUACUUCAGAAAGUAUUUUGACAUUUGCAGCCAACUGAAGUCUAAUACACUGAGCUAAUGGAAACAGUGAGAACCAUCCCAUUUUUUCUUUUGCAUAUGACAAGGACUCAUUGUUUAGAAGUGAUAACUGGUGACUAUAGUGUAAUUUUGUGACAGCUGUGCAUUGCAUUGACACCAGAUCAUGAUUGGAUGAUAAGGAUCAAGUCAUG
Long non-coding RNA from Tyto alba (common barn owl), 1688 nucleotides. RefSeq lists it as uncharacterized. The record is from RefSeq and is a predicted model, not a curated record. The transcript is spliced from 5 exons. NCBI's taxonomy places the organism in Eukaryota, Metazoa, Chordata, Aves, Strigiformes, Tytonidae.